Molecule: unclassified non-coding RNA, 252 nt
Filed under: Hevea brasiliensis (rubber tree)
Lineage: Eukaryota; Viridiplantae; Streptophyta; Magnoliopsida; Malpighiales; Euphorbiaceae
Source: RNAcentral
UGCCCCCUCUUCUCUUCUGUUUCUUCCCUGGUUUUGAAGUUGGAUUCUCUCUUAUUGUCCUUGAACUUGGGUCCCCCAGGAUCAGGAAGCCCAUCAAUGGCAGCUACAAGCCUCUUGGCACUGCUAAACACUGCUUCAUUGUACUUCUCUUCUGUAGCCAAUACAGGAAGGUUUUCUGAGACUGUGGAAUCAAGAACACUUUCUCCCACUGCUUGGACAAAUCCAGGGCCCCCUGUUACUGCUCCUUCCUUU